RNAcentral lists this ribosomal RNA (468 nucleotides) under uncultured bacterium. RNAcentral's name for it is "partial 16S ribosomal RNA". It matches the Rfam family "Bacterial small subunit ribosomal RNA", at positions 28 to 507 of the family's 1533-position model. The record is from RNAcentral.
GAUGAACGCUGGCGGCGUGCCUAACACAUGCAAGUCGAACGGAAAGGCCCUGCUUUUGUGGGGUGCUCGAGUGGCGAAGGGGGGAGUAACACGUGAGUAACCUGCCCUUGACUUUGGGAUAACUUCAGGAAACUGGGGCUAAUACCGGAUAGGAGAUCAUGCAGCAGGGGGGGGGUUGGAAAGUUUCGGCGUUUGGGGAUGGACUCGCGGCUUAUCAGCUGGUUGGUGGGGUAGUGGCGGCCCAAGGCUUUGACGGGUAGGCGGCCUGGGAGGGUGGCCGGCCACAUUGGGACUGAGGGACGGCCCAGACGCCUACGGGAGGCAACAGUCGGAAAUCUUGCACAGCGAGCCCGCGCCUGAUGCGAAGACCCCGCGUUCGUAAUGCCCGCCUUCGGGUUAUGAACCGCUUUCGCCUGUGACGAAGCGUUAGUGACGGUAAUGAGUAAAGAAGCACCGGCUAACUACGUG